CGGAGCGUAGCGCAGUUUGGUAGCGCACUUGCUUUGGGAGCAAGGGGUCGGAGGUUCAAAUCCUCUCGGCUCCGACCA
This 78-nucleotide transfer RNA is filed under the name Bacteriovorax sp. Seq25_V. RNAcentral describes it as "tRNA-Pro". It matches the Rfam family "tRNA". Rfam says of the family: Transfer RNA (tRNA) molecules are approximately 80 nucleotides in length. Their secondary structure includes four short double-helical elements and three loops (D, anti-codon, and T loops). The record is from RNAcentral. Lineage: Bacteria; Pseudomonadati; Bdellovibrionota; Bacteriovoracia; Bacteriovoracales; Bacteriovoracaceae.